This is a long non-coding RNA of Strigops habroptila (Kakapo), 2784 nucleotides long. RefSeq lists it as uncharacterized. The transcript is spliced from 2 exons. Lineage: Eukaryota; Metazoa; Chordata; Aves; Psittaciformes; Psittacidae. The record is from RefSeq and is a predicted model, not a curated record.
CCUGAGCCUCUCUCUAGCUUUUCACCACACUUAUCACAAACGCAGGAGGGGGAAAGUGGAAGAUAGAGUAUUAGGAAUGAAUUAGAUGGUUCAGAAGCCCUCUCGAUGGCUUCUGCGGACCAUGGCAGAGAGCUGGGGGCGAGCAGAAGGUGGCAGACCACAGACAGGACAGAACUUUAUUUCCAAUGGAGCUUGUCUCGCAUACAAACUAACCCACACCCCCCCCAAAGCAGCAUCGGAGCCGGCAGCGUGUGCCGAGCGCGGUGCAGCCCCCCCCGCCUGCUCCGCACACCGCGCUCCCCAGCAGGGGCACACGGGCCGCUCCUUGGCACCAGCCCCACACAACACCUCCAUCUUACGUCCUGCCCUGAACCCAGCCCUGCACCCAGGGGCGGGUUUUUGUCCCUGCCUCCGUUCCCCCCCCGUCCCUCCCCUCCUGGCCCCGUGGCAGGACUCGGGCCGUUCCUGGAGCGCCGCUCGCUCUGGCCGCGGACGUCGUGUUCCCCCCGCAGCACCAACCCACCGGGGCGGCUCCUCUCGGCACUCCGGGCACCUCCGCGCUGCGCCCCCCGAGCCCCGCAGCGGCACCUUCCCCCCGCGCCGCCGCCGGCCCCAAGUCCUGCGCCGGAUGCCCCAUCUUUAGCAUCGCAGAGUCCGUGCCCCACCGCGUGUGUACACGCAGCGUGCGCCGAGCCGGCAGCUUGCUCCCUGCCACCGCCGGCAGCGCCUCCGCACUCCUGCUUCCAGCCACCUGCAAGCGAGCGUGUUCUCCGGAGGGAAAACCCCGGUAUCCCGGGUGAAGCAAGUUUAUAACGGAGGGUAAAUAAAGCGACAGGAGCUGCGUGGUGUUUGCAAUGCCAGCACCCAUCUGCCAUCGGUUAUUGUUCACUUACAGCGUGUUGGAGGAUGAGAUGUGGCUUCCUAUCAGAUGCUCGUUUCAAACAAGUGAGAUAAUGCUUGUUAGGUUCACUCAUAAUAAGCGAAACUCGGUACAAUUCCCAUCUUCUGAGGGUAGGGAAGGCACAAGGCACGCAGCAAGAAGAGAGCAGCAGAAGCAGAGCUGGAAUCCAGGUCUCAUCCCUCCCUCUCCAGCACAUCUGCUCCUGGAGUGGAUUCAGCCUCUGGUCAGGAAAGUGCCACAAACUCAGCUUUCCCCUCUAAAGAUCUGCAGUUUCUGGUAACAGCUUUGUGCUCACUAUCCUUUGCGAGACUGAACACAAGUUUUCUUGUUGUAAAGUGUUUUCCUCCACCCUUUGUACAAGCAAAUUUUCGCUACAACUAAGGGUUAACAGCUCACAACCUGUUGUAACUGGUUAGUGACUUCUCCCAAAGCUUCCGGCUUCAUUUCAGGCCAUUCAAAACUUGCUGGUUCACUAACCAGGGCUCCAUCCUUCCAAAGGGGUGCUUUAAUCCACACAGGAGUGCGUGCAUCUCCACUUGUUUCCCUUGCUGUGGCAUCAGGAAUGUUUCAGAACAGGUCUAGCACAACAUGCGCUUUAUUCCCUAGAAGGGAAAGUUAUUCCCAGAAAUCUCUUCAUAGCCCUUUUCUUCUUGUCCUGUUUGGCGAGGUUUUUCCUGAGGUGACAGCAAGCUGAGGCAGCAUCCAGCGGUCCUGGCACACACGGGAAGAUCUGCUUUCUCUUUCAUGUUUCAAACUAAGUGUUUAUGUGGGAUAAGCUGAGAGCUGGACAAAAGAGACCUUCCAGUCACUCACUGUGCUGCAGCCUGGCAUCUUCCCUGUGCUUUGGCAGCUCGUGACGAGCCUCUCAAAGGUGAAAUGCAACCAUCUCCUCUGGUUGUGGCUCCAGAGCUAUUAGGCAAGUACCAGCUGUACCUCUGUCUUAGGAUGUGUUUCACAUGGAGUUUUGCCAUCAGGUGCAUCCUCUGAGGUUCUGCUUCAGAGAUGUGAGAGUGAGCUCCAACAGCAGAGGAACAGGGCAGGACUGAGAGGAGGAGAUGAUGAUAGCACAGUUUAUGCCAAAUACCAUUUCCCCUCCCCCCCCGAGGAACUGCAGAUAAGCCGGGUGAGGAGCCUGGGGCAGCAGCAGAGCUGAUAGAGCUGGAAAUAGUGAUUUCCAACAGAAAGGAAGCUGCCAUUUGGGUUCCAAGUUUUCAUAUAGUGAGUAACUUGUCAGAACAGGACCUACUCAGCUUCGGUGGUGACACUCAAGGGAGGAACUCAGCAGCUCAGAUGAUGGGACAAGCUACAGUUAAAUCUUCAGAUGUUUAGUUUUUGCUGAGUUUUUCCCUGCAGACAAAUGGCUUCAGUUUUCCUCUUCCUUUAAAAUUUAAGCUCAAAAACGUAAAAUGGGGAUAAAAAGACACACACGGCAACAUCCCAUUAAAGCAGAUCCCAUUUGUGAAGAUAAUACAGUCAGCAUCCUCCUUGACUGCACAAUGCAGUGAACACUACCUGUCCCAGGCCAGGGAACCACCAUUCCGGGUGUUUGAUGGAUCCACUGGUGGAAUGUGCACAUCCUGCUCCUGAUGGAGAACUACAAGCACUGACCAACCCGUUGUACAAACCUGACCCAACAGCGAGAGCUUCACUGCAGGGAACACUUAAAUAUACUUGAAGGGACAGACAGGAGAGAGCACACACAAGGGCCACUGCAGCCCCACUUCUCCGAGUGGUGUGUACAGCUCCAGCCACUGGCACCGUUCCCUUCUGGCUGUUGUACGGGAUGGAAACAGCUUCACAUCAACCGCUGGGGAAGGCAGUAAUGGCCAAGGUAAAAUGGGACAUCACUGAGCUCCUGCUGGGGGGAUUUCUGGAGAAGUUGG